RNAcentral lists this long non-coding RNA (537 nucleotides) under Carica papaya (papaya). RNAcentral describes it as "long non-coding RNA (CPAP_LNC013250)". The record is from RNAcentral. Lineage: Eukaryota; Viridiplantae; Streptophyta; Magnoliopsida; Brassicales; Caricaceae.
AGGUUAUUCGGAAAAUAAAUGAAACAAAAAAAGAAAAAUGUGGAAUGAAUCAUGAAUGGCCUAAGUAUGUAUCUAUAUUGACAUGUAUAAUGCAUCAAGCAUCUCAUUAGACUUUUUAUCUCUAAGGGGUAUCUGUUCCCUUAACCUCAUUUGAGGUAUUUGUUUUCCCCUCCCCCAUAUAGUCUGGAAAGACGUAAGAGGAUCGAUCCCUGUAGAUAACUGUGUAUCCUCUUAUGAGAGUGGUGACGCGAAUAUCUAUUCGGGGUCACCUUUGGCUAAGUACUAUCGUGACUAUUGAAUAUCGUAUAGAACCACUAUAGUUGGUACGGUCGUAGUCAUAGAUCAUACCAUGGUUUGGCAAGCCAAAAAUGUGCCUAAGUAAAUUGCUGUUAUCUAUAUUUAAUCUGGUCAUUCUAUAUGUGUAGUUGAAAAUCUUCAUCUGCCUUUAGAGAUAGAAGUUUUAAUGACUUUCCGAAGCAUGACAUGACAAUUUGAGCAUUUCAUGAUUCAUUUGAUUUUCUCUAUUUCUGGUAUGAU